CCUACGGGAGGCAGCAGUGAGGAAUAUUGGUCAAUGGACGCAAGUCUGAACCAGCCAUGCCGCGUGAAGGAUGAAGGCGUUCUGCGUUGUAAACUUCUUUUAUCUGGGAAGAAACCUACUUUUUCUAAAGUAGCCGACGGUACCAGAGGAAUAAGCACCGGCUAACUCCGUGCCAGCAGCCGCGGUAAUACGGAGGGCGCAAGCGUUAUCCGGAUUCACUGGGUUUAAAGGGUGUGUAGGCGGGUAUUUAAGUCAGUGGUGAAAUCUCCGAGCUCAACUCGGAAACUGCCAUUGAUACUAUUUAUCUUGAAUAUUGUUGAGGUAGGCGGAAUAUGUCAUGUAGCGGUGAAAUGCUUAGAUAUGACAUAGAACACCGAUUGCGAAGGCAGCUUGCUAAACAAUUAUUGACGCUGAGGCACGAAAGCGUGGGGAUCAAACAGGAUUAGAUACCCUGGUAGUCCACGCCCUAAACGGUGAUUACUGGACAUUUGCGAUAUACAGUGAGUGUCUGAGCGAAAGCAUUAAGUAAUCCACCUGGGAAGUACGUCCGCAAGGAUGAAACUCAAAGGAAUUGACGGGGGUCCGCACAAGCGGUGGAGUAUGUGGUUUAAUUCGAUGAUACGCGAGGAACCUUACCUGGGCUAGAAUGCGCGUGACCGGUUCUGAAAGGAACUUUUCUAGCAAUAGACACAAAGCAAGGUGCUGCAUGGCUGUCGUCAGCUCGUGCCGUGAGGUGUUGGGUUAAGUCCCGCAACGAGCGCAACCCCUAUUUUCAGUUGCCAACACGUAAUGGUGGGAACUCUGAAGAAACUGCCGCCGUAAGGCGUGAGGAAGGAGGGGAUGAUGUCAAGUCAUCAUGGCCUUUAUGCCCAGGGCUACACACGUACUACAAUGGGGAGGACAAAGGGUCGCCACUUGGCAACAAGGAGCUAAUCUCAAAAACCUUCUCUCAGUUCGGAUUGGGGUCUGCAACUCGACCCCAUGAAGCUGGAAUCGCUAGUAAUCGUAGAUCAGCAAUGCUACGGUGAAUACGUUCCCGGGCCUUGUACACACCGC
Molecule: ribosomal RNA, 1056 nt
Filed under: uncultured Chitinophaga sp.
Lineage: Bacteria; Pseudomonadati; Bacteroidota; Chitinophagia; Chitinophagales; Chitinophagaceae
Description: bacterial SSU rRNA
Rfam family: Bacterial small subunit ribosomal RNA
Source: RNAcentral